UCUGGUUACUGCGAUGGAGGGACGGAGAAGGCUAGGCCAGCUUGGCGUUGGUUGUCCAAGUUUAAGGUGGUAGGCUGAAAUCUUAGGUAAAUCCGGGGUUUCAAGGCCGAGAGCUGAUGACGAGUCGUCUUUUAGAUGACGAAGUGGUUGAUGCCAUGCUUCCAAGAAAAGCUUCUAAGCUUCAGGUAACCAGGAACCGUACCCCAAACCGACACAGGUGGUCGGGUAGAGAAUACCAAGGCGCUUGAGAGAACUCGGGUGAAGGAACUAGGCAAAAUGGCACCGUAACUUCGGGAGAAGGUGCGCCGGCUAGGGUGAAGGAUUUACUCCGUAAGCUCUGGCUGGUCGAAGAUACCAGGCCGCUGCGACUGUUUAUUAAAAACACAGCACUCUGCAAACACGAAAGUGGACGUAUAGGGUGUGACGCCUCCCCGGUGCCGGAAGGUUAAUUGAUGGGGUUAGCGCAAGCGAAGCUCUUGAUCGAAGCCCCGGUAAACGGCGGCCGUAACAAUAACGGUCCUAAGGUAGCGAAAUUCCUUGUCGGGUAAGUUCCGACCUGCACGAAUGGCGUAACGAUGGCGGCGCUGUCUCCACCCGAGACUCAGUGAAAUUGAAAUCGCUGUGAAGAUGCAGUGUAUCCGCGGCUAGACGGAAAGACCCCGUGAACCUUUACUGUAGCUUUGCACUGGACUUUGAGCCUGCUUGUGUAGGAUAGGUGGGAGGCUUUGAAGCGUGGACGCCAGUUCGCGUGGAGCCAUCCUUGAAAUACCACCCUGGCAUGCUUGAGGUUCUAACUCUGGUCCGUAAUCCGGAUCGAGGACAGUGUAUGGUGGGCAGUUUGACUGGGGCGGUCUCCUCCUAAAGAGUAACGGAGGAGUACGAAGGUGCGCUCAGACCGGUCGGAAAUCGGUCGCAGAGUAUAAAGGCAAAAGCGCGCUUGACUGCGAGACAGACACGUCGAGCAGGUACGAAAGUAGGUCUUAGUGAUCCGGUGGUUCUGUAUGGAAGGGCCAUCGCUCAACGGAUAAAAGGUACUCCGGGGAUAACAGGCUGAUACCGCCCAAGAGUUCAUAUCGACGGCGGUGUUUGGCACCUCGAUGUCGGCUCAUCACAUCCUGGGGCUGAAGCCGGUCCCAAGGGUAUGGCUGUUCGCCAUUUAAAGUGGUACGCGAGCUGGGUUUAGAACGUCGUGAGACAGUUCGGUCCCUAUCUGCCGUGGACGUUUGAGAUUUGAGAGGGGCUGCUCCUAGUACGAGAGGACCGGAGUGGACGAACCUCUGGUGUUCCGGUUGUCACGCCAGUGGCAUUGCCGGGUAGCUAUGUUCGGAAAAGAUAACCGCUGAAAGCAUCUAAGCGGGAAACUUGCCUCAAGAUGAGAUCUCACUGGGAACUUGAUUCCCCUGAAGGGCCGUCGAAGACUACGACGUUGAUAGGCUGGGUGUGUAAGCGUUGUGAGGCGUUGAGCUAACCAGUACUAAUUGCCCGUGAGGCUUGACC
RNAcentral lists this ribosomal RNA (1497 nucleotides) under metagenome. Its description in RNAcentral is "bacterial LSU rRNA". It matches the Rfam family "Bacterial large subunit ribosomal RNA", at positions 1446 to 2925 of the family's 2925-position model. The record is from RNAcentral.